This 613-nucleotide ribosomal RNA is filed under the name uncultured bacterium. RNAcentral describes it as "bacterial SSU rRNA". The stretch from base 1 to 518 matches the Rfam family "Bacterial small subunit ribosomal RNA", at positions 338 to 873 of the family's 1533-position model. The record is from RNAcentral.
CCUACGGGAGGCAGCAGUGGGGAAUCUUGCGCAAUGGGCGAAAGCCUGACGCAGCCAUGCCGCGUGAAUGAUGAAGGUCUUAGGAUUGUAAAAUUCUUUCACCGGGGACGAUAAUGACGGUACCCGGAGAAGAAGCCCCGGCUAACUUCGUGCCAGCAGCCGCGGUAAUACGAAGGGGGCUAGCGUUGCUCGGAAUUACUGGGCGUAAAGGGAGCGUAGGCGGAUAGUUUAGUCAGAGGCGAAAGCCCAGGGCUCAACCUUGGAAUUGCCUUUGAUACUGGCUAUCUUGAGUAUGGGAGAGGUAUGCGGAACUCCGAGUGUAGAGGUGAAAUUCGUAGAUAUUCGGAAGAACACCAGUGGCGAAGGCGGCAUACUGGCCCAUUACUGACGCUGAGGCUCGAAAGCGUGGGGAGCAAACAGGAUUAGAUACCCUGGUAGUCCACGCUGUAAACGAUGAGUGCUAGUUGUCGGCAUGCAUGCAUGUCGGUGACGCAGCUACGCAUUAAGUACACUCCGCCGUCGGGGUAGGUACGGUCGGCGAAGAAUUAAAACCUUAACAAUAGAAGUUAGACGGCGUGAGACGUGCCGACGGACGACGACGAGGGAGGUUAGG